GUCAUCUUGUGAAAUGCACAACAAAGGGGAUUUUCGCAUAGGUAUGAUUGGUUAUAGUGUCGAUGAUCGUGACACAAGGUCGCAGGUUCGACCUAAAAGUAAUCCUAUUUUGAAUUAAGAUCAACGAACAAAAGGAGUUCGAAGUAGAAACAAUUGUGAUACUGACUCGGGCAUGCAUAUCAUAAACUCAGUCUAAAUUUGCAAACACAACUAAAAACACACACACACCCAAAAAUAACAUCAACGAGGAUAUACAUCCACAAAAUGGAGCUCAAUUUUAUUGCAAAUAGUGAUAAAACUCCGAGCAAACAAUCACUCAUCCACAAAAGCAUGAAAUGAAGUUUUGCCAAAAGGCAUACUGAUACAAUCUCUCCAUUCUUCACAUAUCUUUGAGCUUGGGGUGCUCUCCCAAGACUGAUGAAGGAGCUGAUAUGCAUGCACUUGGCAACUAAGCUUCCUCAAUAAUCAAAUCCAAACAAACCCAUGCACACACUUGACCAUAUGUGCUAUGCAAGCUUUCCCUUUGUGUUAACAAACCAAUUUCUAACCCUAAAAGAGUUUUGAAGGCUAAUGCAUAGCAUUUGACAGUUGAGCUAAAGAAGUCGAAUGCCCAAACUUGAGCAAAAAGAGUAAAUGAAAGUAUGGAUCAUGUAGAAAGGCAUUACCUUCCCUUUGCCUAGAAAUGACUUGCCCCUUUCACUGGUUUCCUCCACUAUUAUCAAAUGGAAGGAGGAUUUCCCUUUAUGGAAUCACAACCCCUCUUCUUCCUCUUCUUCCUCAACAUCUCUACUGCUUACUGAUGUGCUAUGAACUAGAUCAAGCCUAUUAUGGGACUAAGAGAAACCAAAUUUAUAUCUUUCCAAAAGCCACUCUUGGAUUCACCACCGAUCAUCUCGUUUAGAAAAUAGUAGUCGGCGGGAUGCGACACCUUGGCUGUUUGGCACAAAAAAGGGCAUAAGUUAGGCAAAGGAAUGAGUUAUGAUCCAUGAAGUGGUCCCAAACUCAAAUUCUCUUCCUUGGUUCAUG
Molecule: long non-coding RNA, 1026 nt
Filed under: Amborella trichopoda
Lineage: Eukaryota; Viridiplantae; Streptophyta; Magnoliopsida; Amborellales; Amborellaceae
Description: long non-coding RNA (ATRI_LNC002835)
Source: RNAcentral